Molecule: non-coding RNA, 603 nt
Filed under: Pan troglodytes (chimpanzee)
Lineage: Eukaryota; Metazoa; Chordata; Mammalia; Primates; Hominidae
Source: RNAcentral
CACUUACGCGGAGCGGUAAUGUGAGGAAGCCUCCCGCCAAACAGUAGAGGGAGGAGGAGGAGGGGAGAGGCCAGAGAGAGAAGCGGCUUUCGGGAAGGAAAGUGUGAUCUAGGAGGUGGAAUAGUGCUCUCCAAACUUUGACCUGAGGUGUGACUAUUGAAUGACCCUCUAUUUGGAUUUGGAUUACACAAAGUUUAACGUUUUUUGGAAAAAUCCUACCUAGGUAAUGUGUCGUUCUCAAUGCAACAUGUCAGGCAGCUUAUGAUGCCAAUUUGUCCCAUGGCCUUAAAUUCCACAACCUCAUCAUCUACCACCUUUGGUGCUUUCAGAAUCAUGACUCUCAAUGUUGAAGAGUGGGCUACUGCAUGGAAGGUGCUGAUCCUUUUAGAGGCAGCCGUGGAAGAGGAAAAGAGAUCAGAAGAGAAAAGGAUAUUGGUUUGCUGGAACAUGUGGGACAAGAAGUUCCCAGAAGAAUUUGUGAGCAACUUCCCGACAGUAAGGCCCUGGCUAGACCUCAGGAUGGUCCCUGCCUCCUGGACAUUAGGAAGCCCAAAGGCCAGAACAAAAACACAUGCCUAGUGGGGGAAGGCUCACUAACAGGGC